RNAcentral lists this ribosomal RNA (1212 nucleotides) under Desulfopila sp. IMCC35006. RNAcentral describes it as "partial 23S ribosomal RNA". It matches the Rfam family "Bacterial large subunit ribosomal RNA", at positions 1 to 1208 of the family's 2925-position model. The record is from RNAcentral. Lineage: Bacteria; Pseudomonadati; Thermodesulfobacteriota; Desulfobulbia; Desulfobulbales; Desulfocapsaceae.
GUUUUAUGGAUAAGCUAUUAAGGGCUAACGGUGGAUGCCUUGGCAUCGGAAGGCGAUGAAGGACGUGGUAAGCUGCGAUAAGCUUCGGGGAGUCGUUAACAGGCUUUGAUCCGGAGAUUUCCGAAUGGGGAAACCCGGUGGGAGUUAUAUCCCAUCAUCAUGCACUGAAUUCAUAGGUGCAUGAAGCGAACGCGGGGAAUUGAAACAUCUUAGUACCCGCAGGAAUAGAAAUCAAUUUAGAGAUUCCGUCAGUAGCGGCGAGCGAAAGCGGAAAAGCCCAAACCAGAUUUAUCUGGGGUUGUAGGAGCCCGACAUGGGAUUGAAAAUGUAUAGCGGAACAGUAUGGAAAGGCUGAUCAUAGACGGUGAUAAUCCGGUACGCGAAAUGCAGUUUCACCCUAGGGAUUUCCUGAGUACCACGGGACACGUGAAACCCUGUGGGAAUCCGGGAGGACCAUCUUCCAAGGCUAAAUACUAACCGAUGACCGAUAGUGAACGAGUACCGUGAGGGAAAGGUGAAAAGAACCCCGGGAGGGGAGUGAAAUAGAAACUGAAACCGUUAGCUUACAAGCAGUAGGAGCACUAUGUCUUCGGACAGUGUGACUGCGUGCCUUUUGCAUAAUGAGUCAACGACUUACCCUAUGCAGCGAGGUUAAGCCGAGAGGUGGAGCCGCAGCGAAAGCGAGUCUUAACUGGGCGUUUAGUUGUAUGGGGUAGACCCGAAGCCGGGUGAUCUAUCCAUGGCCAGGGUGAAGUCUCGGUAACACGAGAUGGAGGCCCGAACCGAUAUAGGUUGAAAACUGUUCGGAUGAGCUGUGGAUAGGAGUGAAAGGCUAAUCAAACUCGGUGAUAGCUGGUUUUCUCCGAAAUAUAUUUAGGUAUAGCCUCACAUGAUGACUGACGGAGGUAGAGCACUGACAAGGCUAGGGGUCCCACCGGAUUACCAACCCUUUUCAAACUCCGAAUACCGUCAAGUUCUAAUGUGGGAGUCAGACUACGGGAGAUAAGUUCCGUGGUCGAAAGGGAAAGAACCCAGACCGUCAGCUAAGGUCCCUAAAUCUAUGCUAAGUGGAAAAGGAUGUGGAAUUGUUUAUACAACCAGGAGGUUGGCUUAGAAGCAGCAACCCUUUAAAGAAAGCGUAAUAGCUCACUGGUCUAAUGAUACCGCGCCGAAAAUUUAACGGGGCUAAGCAUAGUACCGAAGCUACGGAUU